GAUGAAGAACGCAGCAAAAUGCGAUACUUGGUGUGAAUUGCAGAAUCCCGUGAACCAUCGAGUCUUUGAACGCAAGUUGCGCCCGAAGCCAUUAGGCCGAGGGCACGCCUGCCUGGGCGUCACACGUCGUUGCCCCCCCCAUCUACUCCUUCGGGAUUGCGGGGGGCGGAUGAUGGCCUCCCGUGCGCCUCGCCGCGCGGUUGGCAUAAAUGCCAAGUCCUCGGCGACGCACGCCACGACAAUCGGUGGUUGCGAAACCUCGGUUGCCCGUCGUGUGCGGUCGUCGCGCAUCGAGGGCUCGAAAAAAUUGCCGAGUUCCGGCUCGGCUUUCAACGCGACCCCAGGUCAGGCGGGGUUACCCGCUGAAUUUAAGCAUAUCAAUAAGCGGAGGA
This 392-nucleotide unclassified non-coding RNA is filed under the name soil metagenome. RNAcentral describes it as "partial contains 5.8S ribosomal RNA, internal transcribed spacer 2, and large subunit ribosomal RNA". The stretch from base 1 to 122 matches the Rfam family "5.8S ribosomal RNA", at positions 35 to 154 of the family's 154-position model. The record is from RNAcentral.